Molecule: ribosomal RNA, 234 nt
Filed under: uncultured bacterium
Lineage: Bacteria
Description: partial 16S ribosomal RNA
Rfam family: Bacterial small subunit ribosomal RNA
Source: RNAcentral
CGGGGUGAGUAACGUGUGGGCAACCUGCCUUAUACUGGGGAAUAAUCACUGGAAACGGUGACUAAUACCGCAUAAUGUCUUUUCACGGCAUCGUGGAAAGAAGAAAGGAGCAAUCCGGUAAAAGAUGGGCCCGCAUCUGAUUAGCUAGUUGGUGAGAUAACAGCCCACCAAGGCGACGAUCAGUAGCCGACCUGAGAGGGUGAUCGGCCACAUUGGGACUGAGACACGGCCCAA